Molecule: ribosomal RNA, 282 nt
Filed under: Segatella copri DSM 18205
Lineage: Bacteria; Pseudomonadati; Bacteroidota; Bacteroidia; Bacteroidales; Prevotellaceae
Description: Prevotella copri DSM 18205 partial 16S ribosomal RNA
Rfam family: Bacterial small subunit ribosomal RNA
Source: RNAcentral
CAGAACAGGUGUGCCAGCCGCCGCGGUAAUACGGAAGGUCCGGGCGUUAUCCGGAUUUAUUGGGUUUAAAGGGAGCGUAGGCCGGAGAUUAAGCGUGUUGUGAAAUGUAGAUGCUCAACAUCUGAACUGCAGCGCGAACUGGUUUCCUUGAGUACGCAUAAAGUGGGCGGAAUUCGUGGUGUAGCGGUGAAAUGCUUAGAUAUCACGAAGAACUCCGAUUGCGAAGGCAGCUCACUGGGGCGCAACUGACGCUGAAGCUCGAAAGCGCGGGUAUCGAACAGG